AGAGUUUGAUCAUGGCUCAGAUUGAACGCUGGCGGCAGGCCUAACACAUGCAAGUCGAGCGGCAGCGAGAAGAAGCUUGCUUCUUUGCCGGCGAGCGGCAGACGGGUGGGUAAUGCCUGGGGAUCUGCCCGAUGSCGGGGGAUAACUACUGGAAACGGUAGCUAAUACCACAUAAUGUCGCAAGACCAAAGUGGGGGACCGUCGGGCCUCACACCAUCGGAUGAACCCAGAUGGGAUUAGCUAGUAGGUGGGGUAAUGGCUCACCUAGGCGACGAUCCCUAGCUGGUCUGAGAGGAUGACCAGCCACACUAAAACUGAGACACGGUCCAGACUCCUACGGGAGGCAGCAGUGGGGAAUAUUGCGCAAUGGGGGAAACCCUGAUGCAGCCAUGCCGCGUGUGUGAAGAAGGCCUUCGGGUUGUAAAGCACUUUCAGCGGGGAGGAAGACGACAGCGUUAACAGCGCUGUCAAUUGACGUUACCCGCAGAAGAAGCACCGGCUAACUCCGUGCCAGCAGCCGUGGUAAUACGGAGGGUGCAAGCGUUAAUCGGAAUUACUGGGCGUAAAGCGUACGCAGGCGGUCUGUUAAGUCAGAUGUGAAAUCCCCGGGCUUAACCUGGGAACUGCAUUUGAAACUGGCAGGCUAGAGUCUCGUAGAGGGGGGUAGAAUUCCAGGUGUAGCGGUGAAAUGCGUAGAGAUCUGGAGGAAUACCGGUGGCGAAGGCGGCCCCCUGGACGAAGACUGACGCUUCAGGUACGAAAGCGCAGGGAGCAAACAAGAUUAGAUACCCUGGUGUAGUCCACGCUGUAAACGAUGUCAAUUAAGUGCGUCGUAGUCCGGAUUGGAGUCUGCAACUCGACUCCAUGAAGUCGGAAUCGCUAGUAAUCGUGGAGCAGAAUGCCACGGUGAAUACGUUCCCGGGCCUUGUACACACCGCCCGUCACACCAUGGGAGUGGGUUGCAAAAGAAGUAGGUAGCUUAACCUUCAGGAGGGCGCUUACCACUUUGUGAUUCAUGACCGGGGUGAAGUCGUAACAAGGUAGCCGUAG
This 1050-nucleotide ribosomal RNA is filed under the name uncultured bacterium. RNAcentral describes it as "bacterial SSU rRNA". It matches the Rfam family "Bacterial small subunit ribosomal RNA". The record is from RNAcentral.